UGAGGAAUAUUGGUCAAUGGGCGAGAGCCUGAACCAGCCAAAUCGCGUGAAGGAAGACUGCCUUAUGGGUUGUAAACUUCUUUUAUACAGGAAUAAAAAAGGGGACGUGUCCCUUAUUGCAUGUACUGUAUGAAUAAGCAUCGGCUAACUCCGUGCCAGCAGCCGCGGUAAUACGGAGGAUGCGAGCGUUAUCCGGAUUUAUUGGGUUUAAAGGGUGCGCAGGCGGGCUUUUAAGUCAGCGGUGAAAUCUCGGGCUUAACUCCGAAACUGCCGUUGAAACUGGGAGUCUUGAGUAUGGAUGAAGUAGGCGGAAUUCGUUGUGUAGCGGUGACAUGCUUAGAUAUAACGAGGAACUCCGAUUGCGUAGGCAGCUUACUAAGCCAUAACUGACGCUCAAGCACGAAAGCGUGGGGAUCAAACAGGAUUAGAUACCCUGGUAGUCCACGCCGUAAACGAUGAUUACUAGUUGUAUGCGAUAUACCGUAUGUGACUAAGCGAAAGCGAUAAAGUAAUCCACCUGGGGAGUACGCCGGCAACGGUGAAACUCAAAUGAAUUGACGGGGUCAUAGCUGUUUCCUG
This 579-nucleotide ribosomal RNA is filed under the name uncultured bacterium. RNAcentral describes it as "partial 16S ribosomal RNA". It matches the Rfam family "Bacterial small subunit ribosomal RNA", at positions 355 to 1376 of the family's 1533-position model. The record is from RNAcentral.